AAGCUCGUAGUUGAAUUUCGGGAUCAAUGGAUCGGUCAUGCCGUUGGUAUGUACUGGUUUUAUUGAUUCUCACCUUCUAAAGAACCAUGAUGGCAUUAAUUUGUUGUUGUGGGGAAUUAGGACUGUUACCUUGAAAAAAUUAGAGUGUUUAAAGCAGGCUUACGCUUGAAUACAUUAGCAUGGAAUAACGAAAUAGGACAUCGCAUUCUAUUUUGUUGGUUUCUAGGAUCGAUGUAAUGAUUAAUAGGGAUAGUUGGGGGCAUUAGUAUUCAAUUGUCAGAGGUGAAAUUCUUGGAUUUAUUGAAGACUAACUACUGCGAAAGCAUUUGCCAAGGAUGUUUUCAUUAAUCAAGAACGAAAGUUAGGGGAUCGAAGACGAUCAGAUACCGUCGUAGUCUUAACCAUAAACUAUGCCGACUAGGGAUCGGAUGAUGUUGAUUUUUUAAUGACUCAUUCGGCACCUUACGGGAAACCAAAGUGUUUGGGUUCCGGGGGGAGUAUGGUCGCAAGGCUGAAACUUAAAGGAAUUGACGGAAGGGCACCACCAGGGGUGGAGCCUGCGGCUUAAUUUGACUCAACACGGGGAAACUCACCAGGUCCAGACAUAGUAAGGAUUGACAGAUUGAGAGCUCUUUCUUGAUUCUAUGGGUG
This 651-nucleotide ribosomal RNA is filed under the name uncultured Funneliformis. RNAcentral's name for it is "SSU rRNA". It matches the Rfam family "Eukaryotic small subunit ribosomal RNA", at positions 624 to 1276 of the family's 1831-position model. Lineage: Eukaryota; Fungi; Glomeromycota; Glomeromycetes; Glomerales; Glomeraceae. The record is from RNAcentral.